CAUGUCUCUCUUGGCCCCCAGCACUGAUGGUGCCAGCUGUUAGCCAACCGUAGGGAUGAAUUUCAAAACAACAAGCACAGAAGUAGAAGGGUGCUGGAGGGGCAGAUAUGUUUUUCCUCUGACUAUCCUAAACCCUCCCACAAAGCCCCUCGCUUCCCAGGCCAUGUUUUUGUGGUGAAGAUUGACCACGGACCAGCAUCUGCAGGCAGACAUUCAAUCAAUCUAGCCCUGGGCUACAGGAUCAAACACAGGACACCCUGUUCAACUGGAAUUUCAGAUAGCCUGUGAGCUUCACCUCUGGACAGCAACCCCAAAACUAUCUUCAGAGUUCAAGCCUGUGGUUCAAGCCUGGGCACAACUUUUCAAGAAGCCCCAGGUGAGAGUGACCCAUUUCCCCACUUUUGAUCCAAGGUCAAGGCAGCAGAAGGCUUUGCCUGAGGCCACACAGUGGGUAUCUGGCGUGAACACAUGGGUGGUGCUUGGCUCUUUCUUUCUCUCUUUCUUUCUUUCUCUCUCUCCUUCCUUCCCUCCUUCCUUCCUUCCUUCCUUCCUUCCUUCCUUCCUUCCUUCCUUCCUUCCUUCCUUCCUUCCUCAUUCCUUCCUUCCUUAUUUCUUCUUCUUUCUUUCUUUUUUUCUUUCUUUCUUUCUUUCUUUCUUUUCUUUCUCUCUCUCUCUCUUUCUUUCUUUCUUUCUUUCCUUCUUUUCUUUCUUUCUUCCCUUUUCUUUCUCUGAAUCUCAUUCUGUCACCCGGGCUGGAGUGCAAUGGCACAAUCAUGGCUUACUGCAACCUCCCCCUCCCGGAUUCAAGUGAUUCUCCUGCCUCAGCCUCCCAAGUAGCUGGGAUAAAAGGUGCAUGCCACCAUACCCAACUAUUUGUAUUUUUAGUAGAUACUGGUUUUCACCAUGUUGGCCAGGAUGGUCUCGAUCUCUUGACCUCAUGAUCCGCCUGCCACAGACUCCCAAAUUGCUGGAAUUAUGGGCAUGAGCCACUGCACCUUCCCAGUACUUGGCACUUUCAAAUGCCCCUCAGACCACCACUGGGUGAGUUGGGUGUUGGUAGCUCCAUUUUACAGAGAAGGAAAGAGGAGCGUGUACCGGGGCUCACAGGAAGUCUAGCCCCUAUCUAUAAGACUAACCCUGACUAAUGCUAACCCUAACCCUAACCCAAGGCUUCCG
RNAcentral lists this long non-coding RNA (1176 nucleotides) under Callithrix jacchus (white-tufted-ear marmoset). Its description in RNAcentral is "lncRNA (ENSCJAG00000087026.1)". Lineage: Eukaryota; Metazoa; Chordata; Mammalia; Primates; Cebidae. The record is from RNAcentral.